GUUUUAUCCUUUUUAAUAUAUUUCUUGGGGUUUCCAAGUGGUUUGAGGUUUAGAAAAGCUUGAAGAGAUUGUUUUCGCCGAAAAGUUGCUCGGAUAAGCACAUCAAUACCUAAGACACCACUUGUUACACGGUGAACUAUAUUUUGGACAAAAGGUAGAGAAAGAAAUAUGUGAAUGAUAUGAGGAGAACUGAAGCAUGGUCCUGACCCUGAUUUGUACAUAUGAACACAUCGACCUUUUUGUGGGUUAUUUCAGCUAUCAGUGAGAUGUUUGUAAUAAAGUGUGAAGUUAUGUUUUGAAAACAAAUUGGGUUAUUUAAUACUUAUGUAUAAUAUGUUUGAGACACACUUUAUGUUUAAUGUAAAUAAUGUGAAAUAAGUUUUCAAGUUUAAAAAUAUAUAUAUAUGUCCAG
This is a long non-coding RNA of Humulus lupulus (European hop), 412 nucleotides long. RefSeq lists it as uncharacterized. The transcript has 3 exons. The record is from RefSeq and is a predicted model, not a curated record. Lineage: Eukaryota; Viridiplantae; Streptophyta; Magnoliopsida; Rosales; Cannabaceae.